CUUAUACCUGCCCAUCAGAAGAGCCAAGAAGUAUGUAAAUUAUACUCAGGCUACGCUUGUAGAAAUUCCUGCCUAAUUCUUUGCACUCCUCCCUCCACCUCCUCUGGAAUCGAGCAGAAGUCACACCUCCUCGCUGUAAUAGGUAAUCUGGCUCAAGUGCAUUGAAGAGCAUGCCAGGAACUUGAAGAGCUAGAGAGUCCUCACCUGGUCCGGUCUGUAGUUGCUGCCUGCCCACGACCUUUUCUCCUCUGGUCCCUCCUUUCUCUACGUAGAAAACCCAGAGACAGAACAAGCACCCAAGCUGCACUUCCCGGGAGCUGCCUCCAGGGGCGCCUGUGCAGAGCGGCCUCUCCUCCCGGCCCGCCCACUGACUGCGCAUCGGCAGACAAACCAUUACUAUCGCCAAAAGUCCCUAUCCACCAGAUGCCGCUGUUAGGGACGAGGCUGACAAGACAAGUGCCUCUGGGAAAAGACACGGGGCUGACAUUCAGAGUAGGACGUAAAGGAUUGAGAGGGAAAGUUUUCCUGAGCUCGAGACCUGUUUGUUUGGGAAUGGAGGCGUUGGGAGGCUGGCCAAGCCCCAGCCCUGGAUCCAGAGGAGUCACAGCCGAGAGCCGACCUCCGAGGCCACGUCCUUUCACCUCCUCGCUCCCUGGUCUCUGUGCAGCAAUUGUGGUCCGCCAGGUUCUGGCCAAUGUGUAGCCUCUCCAUGCUGAAAACGGCCCCUUGAAAAGUGGAGGGGAAGAGACCAGCCCCCAGCAGCGAACCCCAUAUAUACCGGGAGGUUUGGAAUCGCCUUUAUUGCCAGAUCAGUAUUGUUGCCCAUGACAGCUAAUGAGGUUGGACAGGCUUCUCCACACUGAGCUUUAUGGGGCCGGCUCCCUCCCCUGCAGAGCUCGCAAGCCCUGCCAGCUUUUGUGCACUGGAAUGUUCCAGCCCCACACCCCGCUUUGCUCCUCCAACACU
RNAcentral lists this long non-coding RNA (966 nucleotides) under Equus caballus (horse). RNAcentral's name for it is "lncRNA (ENSECAG00000051638.1)". The record is from RNAcentral. Lineage: Eukaryota; Metazoa; Chordata; Mammalia; Perissodactyla; Equidae.